RNAcentral lists this unclassified non-coding RNA (1039 nucleotides) under Lucilia cuprina (Australian sheep blowfly). RNAcentral describes it as "ras-related C3 botulinum toxin substrate 1, transcript variant X1". Lineage: Eukaryota; Metazoa; Arthropoda; Insecta; Diptera; Calliphoridae. The record is from RNAcentral.
AUUUCCCAAGAAUUUCAACUCGUCUUUGGUGGCAGAAAAUAGUCUAACAUCAUUGCAUAAAACAUGUCAAAAUUUCAAAAUGUCAACAGGAAGACCCAUCAAAUGUGUUGUCGUUGGCGAUGGUACUGUCGGCAAGACAUGCAUGUUAAUAUCAUAUACCACAGAUAGUUUUCCCGGUGAAUAUGUGCCUACAGUUUUCGAUAACUAUUCAGCACCCAUGCAAGUAGACACAAUACAAGUAUCACUGGGUCUAUGGGAUACAGCCGGACAAGAGGAUUAUGAUAGACUACGGCCACUUUCAUAUCCACAAACGGAUGUAUUUCUGAUAUGUUUUUCAGUGGCGAGUCCAUCAUCGUUUGAAAAUGUCACCUCAAAAUGGUAUCCCGAAAUAAAACAUCACUGCCCCGAUGCGCCCAUUAUAUUAGUUGGUACCAAAAUUGAUUUACGUGAAGAUCGUGAAACGCUUAGUGCUUUGUCUGAGCAGGGCUUAGCGCCUUUGAAACGUGAACAAGGACAAAAACUAGCAAAUAAAAUACGUGCUGUUAAAUAUAUGGAAUGUUCAGCUCUAACACAACGAGGCCUAAAACAGAAUUUUAUUUGUUAAACUUUAAAAUUGUCAGUUUAUGAGAUUUCAUGGAACAUAUAUUUUAACUAUUACAUCAUUUAUUAUUUGGAUAUUUGUAAUAGAGGUCAGAUCACAUGAAAUUGAAUACAUCAAAUAUUGGAUACAAUAUAAAUGUGGAAACAUACUUAUUUGAUGAAGGACGUUAAAAAUUACAUAAAUGCAGUUAAAUCAAAUGAAAAUAAUAUAUAUAAUUAAAAUUUUGUUACACAAAUUUCUUUAAUUCACAAUCGGUGUUGUACGGUUGUAUCGUAGUUUGUCGUAAUUUUUUAUUAUUAUUGAUUUUGGUUGCUUUAAAAUAAUUUAUUUCAAAAAAUUUUAUGACAUACAAUGCUACAACGAUACGUCAUCGAGUGUGAAUUAGACAAUUAUUUUAAAUUAAUGUAUCAAUAAAUGAAAUAAAUAAAAAUAAUUAUA